GCGCCUGUAGCUCAGCCGGACAGAGCAGCGGAUUUCUAAUCCGAGCGGAUUUCUAAUCCGCCGGUCGGGGGUUCGAGUCCCUCCAGGCGCGCCA
This 94-nucleotide transfer RNA is filed under the name candidate division TA06 bacterium SM23_40. Its description in RNAcentral is "tRNA-Arg". It matches the Rfam family "tRNA". From Rfam's summary of the family: Transfer RNA (tRNA) molecules are approximately 80 nucleotides in length. Their secondary structure includes four short double-helical elements and three loops (D, anti-codon, and T loops). RNAcentral also lists the same sequence under 1 other name. The record is from RNAcentral.